UGGGGAAUCUUGGACAAUGGGGGCAACCCUGAUCCAGCCAUGCCGCGUGAGUGAAGAAGGCCUUCGGGUUGUAAAGCUCUUUCGGCGGGGACGAAACGGUCCGUGACAACACCACGGACUAAUGACAGUACUCGCAGAAGAAGCACCGGCUAACUACGUGCCAGCAGCCGCGGUAAUACGUAGGGUGCAGGCGUUAAUCGGAAUUACUGGGCGUAAAGCGUGCGCAGGCGGCUCCUUAAGUCAGAUGUGAAAUCCCCGGGCUUAACCUGGGAACUGCGUUUGAAACUGAGGGGCUAGAGUGUGGAAGAGGGGGGUGGAAUUCCAGGUGUAGCAGUGAAAUGCGUAGAGAUCUGGAGGAACACCGAUGGCGAAGGCAGCCCCUUGGGCUAACACUGACGCUCAUGCACGAAAGCGUGGGGAGCAAACAGGAUUAGAUACCCCAGUAGUCCCUGAGCGGGCUGGCAAGGCGCAU
RNAcentral lists this ribosomal RNA (472 nucleotides) under uncultured bacterium. RNAcentral's name for it is "bacterial SSU rRNA". It matches the Rfam family "Bacterial small subunit ribosomal RNA", at positions 355 to 825 of the family's 1533-position model. The record is from RNAcentral.